Molecule: non-coding RNA, 1355 nt
Organism: Sus scrofa (pig)
Lineage: Eukaryota; Metazoa; Chordata; Mammalia; Artiodactyla; Suidae
Source: RefSeq, a predicted model, not a curated record
CAGUGCUUUGACCACCCUGUGCUUUUGCUGGCUGUGGAUGCACCGGUCAGGUAAUUGACAAGAAUUUUUUUUCUUUUUGUGGCUGUGCCCAAGGCAUGCAGAAGUUCUCAGGCCACGGAUGGAACCGGUGCCACAGCAGUGAUCCGAGCAACAGUAGUGACAACGCUGGUGCCUUAACCCACUGAGGCACCAGGGAACUCCAGCAUCCUAUCUUUUACCUUGUUCUCAUCGGACUUCUUCAGCAUCCACUGUGGCCAAGUCUAAAGCAUAGAGCUGAGGCAAUGCCUGCCCACUUCAGGCUGUGUUGAGAGCCAGUUGUGUUGAUUGUGGUCUUCAGAGAAAGUGAAGCUGGCAGUCCAGCUCAUCCUCCCAGCUGCUAAGUCCUAUAAAUGAUGGGACUUUUCUUCCAGUGAACUGUGCUUGGAAGCUGAGUUCUGCCUUUAAACGCCUUCUCCCGUAUCUGCUCGAGUCCCUGGGCGACUGAACGCUGGGAGAUGCGUGUUGCCUGGUGUUUCCUUUGCUCCUCUCCUCCUUCCAUCCCCCUGACUCUCGGUUCUGGGGUUCAGCCCUAACACGGGAUGCUCACCAGCUUUCUAAUCGGCCGGAAGUAACUCCAGAAUCCAGCGAGUGGAAGAAAAUGACUGUAGAUGCAGCCUGAGGAAGGGCUCCGAAAUUUUGUGCCCUGAACUCCGUGCAGAUUUUGCAAGAGUCGUAGGAGAGAAGACAAAACCCAAGCGCCUGGAAAGAAACCCGUUAAUCUGUGAAGCCGGUCAUCUUCGGGGAACCGACACACAGCUGCCAGGGUGUGAGCUUAGAGAGCCCUGGACAGGCCGGUAUUGGUGUACACUGUACAGCCAGACCAAGGGUCGACAUGCUAAAAGGCCUGUGCUUGUUGCUAAACUGACACUGUCCUGAGUAACCCCAGACCCCAAGGGCCACCAUCUCCCCCUAGACCUGCCUGAACCUCCUCCCCCACAGUGAUGAUUGGAGACCCAGUGGGCAGCUAUGUUAUCACAGGGCUCUGACGCCUUUGCCACCUGGACUCAACCUCAGGGCUGGUACAGUGGCCGCUACACCAAAUCCGCAGUCCUGACCUCCUCAGGACCCUCCUUCAUCCCAGCACAACCCAGCUCCAUGGUCCAUUUUCCAGUUCCCCUACACCGCCUUCCCUGCGUGUGACCCAGCCAUCCCCACAUCAAAUGCUGCUUCUGCCUUUUCCUCCUUGCUCUGCUAAAAUUCCUUCUGCCCCAAAAGGGCUUGCUCAAGAAGUGACUUUUCCUUCCUCACUGAUGUUUUCAUGCACGUAAAAAAAAAAAAAAUUUUACAAGUAAACAUAUUUCAUGUAUCUGUGAUUA